ACAAAAACAAAACCCACAUUAAUAAAAGCACAUAGACAUAUUAGCAACUAAAGUACAGAUAAUGAAACUUAAAGGGAUAGUUCACCCAAAAAAAAAAAUUCUGUCAUGAUUUACUCACUCUCAUGUUGUUGCAAACCUGUAUAAAUUUCUUUAUUUGAAGAGUUUGGUUCCAAACUAGCGAUAAAUGCCUUUUUUUUAUGUUACCGCCAAAAUCAGUAUUGUAUCUGGUGGUCAGUAUUAAAAAGUUAAUUCUUCAUUUUACGCAAAAUCCGAUAUCCGUUGUGUUAUUCUGUCAUCUUUUCCCCCUUUUUUUUCCUAAACGCAAUAAACGCCAGUCCUCCUUCUCUGCAGAAUGCAAUAAAUCCGCUCAACAAAUCGCAGCGCAACAUUCCACGCAUUGUAAACAAUAAUGGCGGCGCUUUGAAUACACACAGAAUCCUAGUUUUCCUCAUUUACUUUGUACUUCGUGAUAAACAAACAAACAAAAACAAAAUAAUAAUUUUGAUGGCAUUGCUAAACCUGUGGUGGGGAAGAAACGUAAGCCAUCAAAAUUGAAUAAUUACGCGAGAAGCACUAUUUUACGUCAACGAAAGUCAUCGUAAAAGUUCAGCGACGACGUCCCAAGGAUGACAGCAGCAAUGACAGUGUUCUUAAUAUUACAAAAUAUUUAUAUACUAACAUCACCAGACUGUACCUGCGAUGAGUGAGGAAACUGCCAUUGGCAUGCCCCGAUCCAUCACAUCCUGGCGUGGGGCAGGUUGGGCCCUCAGCCUUGAAGGCUUUCCAGGAGAAUGGUGUGCCAUUUAACAUGCCCUCUUUCUGCCGGCGUGCUGCCAGUGGGCACCCAUAAGCACUGCGGUGGGUGGCGUAUUUCCCACUGAUAUGCCCCAGACUGUCACAACCUGGCACUGGGCACCUGCACGGAGUUGGAGUGGUUUUGACUCCUCCCUUCUUGGCACGUGGGCAUCCAGACAGACUGCAAAGAGAAUAUAUAAAAUGUGAAGAGUAAAUGUGAUUUAAACUGUACCUUCUAUGGGAAGCAUAGUUUCCAGUAAUGUGGCCUGAUCCAUCACAACCUGGAGUAGGACAUCUGAAGGUUGAGAGAAAAUAGAUAGAGGGACAAAUACAGAAAAAAACAGAGCUGGAAAUCUGGACACACGCAGACAUAUCCACACAUUUAAGCACCCUGAACUGAAGCGAUAAGAGGGUCUGAUGUCCAAAAUCUGGUUUCGUCACUCUGGGCAGAGAAUGAAAGGUGCAGAUUUGCAGAGGAGACCACCCGAAGUAAACUCAUUAAGGGUCCAAUAAAAACCUUCUGUCGGGACGGCAGGACUCCUACAGAUACUCCAGUGACAAUACAAACAACAGCAAGAGCAGAGAGAGAGAAGAAAUCCACAGACAAAAGAGUCCUCUAAUUAGCAGAGCACUUCUAAGUGACAUAUGCUCCUGGAAUCGGGGGUGAAGAAUGACGGAAGUGAAGGAGAAGAGAGUGAAGAGGAACUGCCCAGGGCGUUUAGACAGCAGGACCAGUGAAUGACUCCGGUGCCAUAAAGACCACAAAAGCCUAUCAACUGUACUGCUGCGCUGAGAUAAGCAAAGCAUCAGUCUGUGGUUAUUCUCAUAACAAUGGAUGGUGAAAUAACAGUUAUAAGUAACUCGGUAGGGAAGUACAGUGAUAAUGAGGUAUUUGUUUUAAGGUUUUUUACAGACCCUAGGACACAUUUCUCAAUACUUAGGUCACUUUUGCAAAACUCUUCACACAGUUCUCCUAACACACUUUUAGCUUAGCAAAGCAGAUCAUUUCACAUUCAAAAUGCACUACAACUACCAAAACACUUUAUUCAGGUCUCAAAUCAACUCAUUCUUUCAGAACACUAGCAAAGGUUGACAGCCGACAAACACACUUUGUCACCCACAAAAGAACAACCUAAAAAACACUACAACAUGUAGCAUUAUACAAUGUUUUCUCUGUUUAUAAUUCACUGCAAUAUAUGUUACUGGAAUGAAUCAGACAUGAUGCAGAAUUCUUCAAUAUUUUAAGUAGUUAUUUUUAUUUUUUUUGCACUGAAUAAUUCAUUACUGUUCGUAAAAAAACGUAAAAAACUGUAAGAUUUAAAAUAUAUUUUAUUAAAAUAUUACUGUAGAAAUGUAGCAAACUGCUGUCUUAUUUAGUUUUGUAUUAUGUUAUUGUUUUGAACAUAAGUUUAACAGUUUUGAAAACAGUAUGUAAGCAUGUGCAAAUUGGCUUGUAUGUAUAAAGAGUUUUGGAAGUUGUUGUGUCUGAGUUAGAAAAGAAUUCAUGAAAUUUGAAAGAUGUAGUCAUUGAAUGCAUUUUGUGCCAAUGAUAAUUGAUCCUCAAUUUAGCCCACAUAGACUUCUGUUGUGCUCACUGUGUGAAGAGUUUUGCAAAAGUGACCUAAGUAUUGAGAAAUGUGUCCUAGUGUCUGGAAAAAACUGUAUACUGACAUUCCACUCAGAUUAAAUAUCUAAAAAUUAAAUAUUAAAUAACACUGCAUCUUUAUGUAUCAUCUGUGCUUUCUUUGCCCACUAUAUCCUUGAUUCUUUUAAGACUAAAUACAUUUACGCAUUUGGCAGAUGCUUUUAUCCAAAGUGACUUGCAAUGCAUUACAAACUGUACUUUUUUAUCAGUAUGUGUGUUCUCUGGGUUCGAACCUAUGACAUUUUGCACUGCUAAUGCAAUGCUUCACCGUGAGCAAUUCAGGAACAGCAUCAGAUGUCGUCUUUUACAGACCCUAGGGAAUCUUUGAUAUGUCAAUGACAUUUCAUCACAUAUCCAUUGACAGAAUGCAGAGUCAGACAUGAAUCCUGUUAAGUGUUUCUGUAGCUCAACUGGUAAAGCAUUAGGUUAGCAACUCAAAACUGUGGGUUUAAUUCCCAUGCAUGCUUAUAUAAAGGUAUACAUUGAAUGCAGUGUAAGCGUAUGCCAAGUGUGUAAAUUUACUGUUAUAUAAUGACAGCUAUGCUUUUUAAUUGUGAUGUCAUACGUAUUACAUUGAAUGUUUGUGUUUGCAUAAAUGAUACAUGCGUUACACACAUCUCCCUGCUGUACUAACAUCGUAUUUUAUCAGUGUUUUUCUUUUUGGAAGACAUACAUUUCAAAGCAUAGUAUUUUUACUCCACUACAUUUCAUCAUUUCAAGGUUUUGGUUAAUAUUUAAGUACAUUAAACAUCUAGUAUUUUUUUACUCAAUAAAGUAAAAGUACACAAUUUUUAUGUAAUUAUGUAUUAAAUCAAUUUUAAUAUGCAAUAUAAAAGGAAUAAACAAUAUGAUUCUAUGCUUUAGAAUGUAGUGAAAAUUUUUUAGUAAAGUAAGGUCAUUUUUUCCCAAGACAAACACUUUGAUAAAGCACAGAUGCUUGGAAAAUUUACUCAAAGUACUCAAGUAGUGUCCGCCUCUGCUAAGUAUACUGCUAGCAAGUAAAUUAAUUGCCAAAUUAAAUAGUGCAAUGCAAAUAUCAUAUACAGUACUGUGCAAAAGUCUUAGGCCACCACCACCAGACUUGUUAUUUUAGAAGUUUUAAUGUCCAUCCAUAUAUUAAUUUCAGUCUAUUUUAUUAAGAUACAAGUAGAAAAUACAGGAAAUAUGUACAAAAAAAUAAAAAAUUUUCAGGACUAAAUGUCUUCUUUAGGCAUCGUCUGUGUUUAGUGUGACCUCUCUUGGCACUUAAGCGUUUUUGAGCAGAAUGAAGUAAAAAGACUUUUUUUUAUUAGAAAUUAGGAUUUAAUUUUAUUUAGGCCUAAGAGAUCCUGCAGUUUUCCGGCUAUUGCUCAAGUGGAAGGGGAGUUUACCCUAAAAACUUGACACAUCAGUUUACAUUUUUAUACAGUUUUUAAUACUAUAUACACAUUUCCUGUAUUUUCUGGAUGUAUUCUUUUAAAGAGACUGAAAAACAAUUAUAUGAUCACUAUAACAUUGCAAAAAAACAACAAAUCUAAUUCUGGCAUGGCCUAAGAUUUUUGCACAGUACUGUGCAUUUUAUAUAUAGAUUUGUAACUACUAAGUCUUCAAUUACAGAUAUUUAUGUGUUUUUAAUUGCAGUAUUUGCAUUGGUAAAUGAAUUAUAUUUGAAUUUGUGGAUGUGUAUAUAGUGUUGUGUACCUUAACAUAUAUUUAUGGGUGAAUGGUUCGUGAAAAUGCUAUUGAUUUGCACACCCACUGUACUAUGAUGGAUGUUUGCUGGGAUCAGCAGGUCAUGUGUAUCUCUUACAGCUCAAUAAAGCUGUGAGCUCAGUUCCCAUUCUCAUGUCUGAGGUUAACGACUGCUUAUUUUAAUCAGAGCAAUGCUUCAAUAAAUCUCAGCUGCAACUCAUUUCCUACUGUUGUACAUUAUAGGUACCGUACACUUGGCAGUUUUUUUAUAGAGUAGAUAAAAAUGUUAUUUGGUAGAGCAAAAAGUCAUUCUAGUCAUUCAUCCUAUCUUACUAUUUAUAUCAUUCACAUAAUAUGAUCAGAGGUACUUACUCUUAGAAAUGUUUUAUAGGAUAUGUUAUUAUGAUUGAUUGACAACAUGACGAUCAUUAUUGACAAUAUGAGCAGAAGAGCUGUGGAACAGUGGAGCUGAAUAUGGCUCUCUAGCGCCACCUUUUGAUGUGUUGAUUUGGUACUUUAUCACUGAUGUGCCCCCUGCUGGAGAGAUAAGGAUCUUUAGGAAAUGUCAAAGUGCUUGCAAUUUGGCGUUUUCUAUUAAAUUUUCCAUCACAACUUGUGCAAUCUCCAGUCUUUAGCUUUUUAUCCCUCUCAUCUACU
Long non-coding RNA from Misgurnus anguillicaudatus (oriental weatherfish), 4768 nucleotides. RefSeq lists it as uncharacterized. Lineage: Eukaryota; Metazoa; Chordata; Actinopteri; Cypriniformes; Cobitidae. The record is from RefSeq and is a predicted model, not a curated record.